CCGUUUGACACGGGCUCCCCUCCCCGGUGCGCCUCCACGCUCAUUCCGGCGCUGGCCCCACCGCACGCCGCUCUCCAGCCUGCAGCAACCGGAGGUAACGGGGAUCCCCAAGCAGCGGCUUCGCACACAGACGCAGGCGUGCCAUCGUGUGAAGUGAACGAAUCGGCGACAGUGUAGCACCAACAGGACAGGAAACUUCUCUUUCUCUCUCUCUCUCUCUCUCUCUCUGCCCCCCCUGUCAGUCUGUUUCUCUCGCUCCUUCUCCCUCCCUCCCUCUCUUUCUCUCUAACUGAAAGGUGGGGGGAGGCGACCAAAGCUGGGGCGACAGCAACAGCUAAAAGCGACACACCUUCCAGUCCGUCACCAUCAAACAUUCCUCACAUCUCCGUCACAGCUGGGCGUGCGCCUGCGUAAAGAGAAUUUAAACAGCUCGGGGGCUCGAUCUGCCUCUCUCUCUCUCUCCAGCUGGGCGUUAAAAACCCCUCAACGCUGUCUGGAGCAAGAUGAUGUCGACGACUUUUCCAAUUCGCCUUUCUCCUCUGCUUCAAUCAGGCUUCUUUGGAUGGACUGUCUGAGGGCGAGAGAAAGCUCAUCAUCUGGGACAAUGCCGAUGUUGCUUCAUAGUUGCUUACGUGUUUUAUUCGUACAAGUCAUGUUUUUAUUUGUCUACAAAUAAUAAUAAUAAAAAAAGCUACGUGUGCAUCUAAAAAAAAAGUGGAAUAUCAUGGAAAAGUUCUUUUAUUGCCAUCAUUAAAAAAAAAAAAAAA
Poecilia latipinna (sailfin molly) is the source of this 767-nucleotide long non-coding RNA. RefSeq lists it as uncharacterized. Lineage: Eukaryota; Metazoa; Chordata; Actinopteri; Cyprinodontiformes; Poeciliidae. The transcript is spliced from 2 exons. The record is from RefSeq and is a predicted model, not a curated record.